Molecule: ribosomal RNA, 245 nt
Filed under: Tiarina fusus
Lineage: Eukaryota; Ciliophora; Prostomatea; Prorodontida; Colepidae
Description: Tiarina fusa partial Bacterial small subunit ribosomal RNA
Rfam family: Bacterial small subunit ribosomal RNA
Source: RNAcentral
UGUAGCGGUGAAAUGCGUAGAUAUUAGGAAGAACACCAAUGGCGAAAGCACUCUACUGGGCCAUAACUGACACUGAGAGACGACAGCUAGGGGAGCAAAUGGGAUUAGAUACCCCAGUAGUCCUAGCCGUAAACGAUGGAUACUAGAUGUUGCACGUAUUAACCCGUGCAGUAUCGUAGCUAAGGCGUUAAGUAUCCCGCCUGGGAAGUACGCUCGCAAGAGUGAAACUCAAAGGAAUUGACGGG